UACUGCACGACUUCGCCUCCUCGUCUCGCUUAUCGCUCUCGCUCGCGACUACCCCGUAUCCGCGCGUCCCCUUUCUCUCGCUUCUCUUCGUAGCGAAACAACCGCGGGCACAUUGCGUUUCCUCUUUUUCUGGUAGCCACGGCGGCGCGUAGUCCCGAUUUGCGCGCGCGUAUGCUGCAUGUACUCGUACGUACGAACCUCCACAUCGGUCGGUUUUUCUCGCCGAUCCUCGCGUCACCGCGACACUGGCGAGGCCCGGUCGCGUUGCCGGCUCCGCGCGCGCAAAACUCGCGAAUCGCGCGCCUCGAUUGGCCGAGCCGUGCCGCCGCCGCCAAUCGCGAUCCCGCGUGUUUACCUACUCUCGAGCGCGCCCGCCACUUGCUCCACGUCGCCGUCGCGUUGCGGGCUACAGCGGAAAAAAUUGGUUUGCGUCUCUGUCGUCCCCGGUGCGAUCGCGAUUGGAUGCUGCGCGGAUGUGCUAUCGCGAUACAAUGAGAUCUGCUAGAGUCUAGAUGCACAAGAGCUUUAAUAAUUCUCUGGAGCUCUCAGUCGCGCGGAUCUCAAAAAUAUGGCAUACGCGCAAAGAUAAAGUUAAUUUGCAAAAAAAGAAAAAAUGUAAAAAUUAAGGGAAAUGUAAAUGUACCAAUUACAUCGCUAGAAUUUCUUGUCGAUUUGGUAGUCGCGGUAUCGCUAAUAAACUCGCCCACGUUAUUCGCGCCAGCCGAUACGCCAGCAACGAGGGGGAUCCCCGUAUAUCUGAGUGCGCGGUAUAAUUUAUUCGGAUUUCGGAAUAAUAGCGCAGUCCCCUGGCACAAUAACGACCCCCACGAUCCUCGCUGCGGCACGUUAUAUUUCAUUAUGCAUAAACGUCCGUCCAAUCUCCAUACGGUUACCGGCUCGUUUCAUGCCGUUACUUCGAUAACGGCAUCGAUUUGACUCGCCAUCGAGCUCGAUCUUGUUAAGCAGAUCGCGCGCGCAAAGUUACAUAAAAGCACAAACGUAAUGCAUAAGCAUCUCGAUGAAUAAGACACGGAAUGUAAAAUCCUGCGCGACGAUGCAUAUUAGUCCGUGUUUACUUUUACGGCGUUCUAUGUGCAUUGUAUGACUCACGCUUACAAAAAUCGUUAUUCACAUUCAAUGAGCUUUAUGUAAUCGGAAACUUUAACCCCGUGCAUUUUAUUAAUAGCAAAUAUGGAAGCAUUAAUGUUUAAUGCACCGUUACAAAUCAAGAUUUCUUAGUUGGGAAUUAACUUUCCCAGGCAAAAAACUUAUCCGCGUUGUUCAAUCGUCGUUCAGCGACGAAAUUUAUUUCAAGAACAAAAGUUGGUUUCAGCAACUUAAUUAUUUCGAUUGACGUCGAAUACUGAAAUUUUAAAAACUACGGAAAAUAUUUGAAGGCGCCGAAUGUUCUCGAUUACGUAAGAUAAUCUCAGAUGUUAAUAAAUCAGAGAACAAGAAAAAAGAUCGAUGUAUGCAGAGAUUUGUUUAAUUUGGCAAUCAACACUGAACUAAGCGCCGAAUAAAUGGAAUCUCAUUGUCUCUAG
Molecule: long non-coding RNA, 1544 nt
Organism: Ooceraea biroi (clonal raider ant)
Lineage: Eukaryota; Metazoa; Arthropoda; Insecta; Hymenoptera; Formicidae
Source: RefSeq, a predicted model, not a curated record